Molecule: ribosomal RNA, 332 nt
Filed under: uncultured bacterium
Lineage: Bacteria
Description: bacterial SSU rRNA
Rfam family: Bacterial small subunit ribosomal RNA
Source: RNAcentral
GGCGUAGGUGGCCUGUCAAGUCGGAUGUGAAAUCUCCCGGCUCAACUGGGAGGGUGCAUUCGAUACUGGCGGGCUAGAGUGCAGCAGAGGGAGGUGGAAUUCCCGGUGUAGUGGUGAAAUGCGUAGAUAUCGGGAAGAACACUAGUGGCGAAGGCGGCCUCCUGGGCUGUAACUGACACUGAGGCCCGAAGGCGUGGGGAGCGAAACAGGAUUAGAUACCCUGGUAGUCCACGCAGUAAACGAUGGAUACUAGGUAUGGGGAGUAUCGACCCUCUCUGUGCCGAAGCUAACGCUUUAAGUAUCCCGCUGGGGACUACGGUCGCAAGACUAAA